CAGACCAGGUGCGCCCAAAGCCGCGCCACGGGGCGCCUCUGGUAAUGGGCGAGUCAAAGGCGUAGCCAAAACCGGCGCCGGCACUGCCGGCCUUGAUGUCGCCUACCAGUGCGCCCUCUUUGGGUGCGGCCUGGCGGUCAUUGUCGGCACCACCAGACGGAUCGCCGCCGCCCGGUUGGGGACCCACCGCCGACGACGAUGCACCGCCGCCGGCACCGCCCUGGCAACCGGUACGAUCGACCCUUGACGAUGCUUUGCCGCCGCCGCCACCAUAGGCCGUGGCAUUGAAAAGCACCGUGCCGUCAGGCAUCAUGGCAACGAUUGACGUGGCCCCGCCGUCGCCGGCCACCGAUUCUUGGGCGCCUACCGGACUGGGUGCGCCGCCCUUGCCAAUAACCACGCUCCACACGGGGUCGCUGGCCGAGAUUGACCAGUCGGACGAGUCGACGGCGCGGCCCACAAUGGUGGCGCCGCUCCCGCCGCCGGCACCACAGUACAAUGAGGUGGACGACCCGCCACCGCCGCCCCAGAGGGUGACACUGACAUUGGCGGCACCGGCCGGCAGGGACCAGGCCUGCGACGCGCCAAAGGACACGCUGUAGCGGUAGGCCUCUGUUGUUGGCGCCCCAAGACCCAAGAGACCGAUGAUCGCGACGACCGUGACAAGGGCCGCUGUGGUUGCCAUGUGAUUUGUCGCACGCGCCUUCAUACUGUUGCCUUGCGACGGGUUUCCGUUUUAUUGUUUGUUCUCUUUUCUUUUUUUUGGCAGGAGCGAUCAGGCUCGGUGUUGUGUCGGGUCUUUUUUUUCCUCCCUUGUGUCGACACCUCUGGUGGCCGCGACCACCACAGGGCGUGGUGCGGUCAUCAACUUUCGUCGUGCCUGCGGCGCCUUUUUUUGUUGCCGUCUCCAACAGACAACAAGGGCACGUGUUCAAACCCAGCAAAAAAGGUGGCAAAGUGACCUGUUUCUUUUUUUCGAGAAAAACCCAUUUCACGGCCACCAAGAACAAGAAAAAGGGCCACAAGUCGAG
RNAcentral lists this long non-coding RNA (1031 nucleotides) under Pandoravirus quercus. Its description in RNAcentral is "hypothetical ncRNA". The record is from RNAcentral.